RNAcentral lists this ribosomal RNA (464 nucleotides) under uncultured bacterium. Its description in RNAcentral is "partial 16S ribosomal RNA". It matches the Rfam family "Bacterial small subunit ribosomal RNA", at positions 29 to 507 of the family's 1533-position model. The record is from RNAcentral.
ACGCACGCUGGCGGCGUGCUUAACACCUGCAAGUCGAACGGAAAGGCCCCUUUGGGGGUACUCGAGUGGCGAACGGGUGAGUAACACGUGAGUAACCUGCCCUUGACUUCGGGAUAACUUCAGGAAACUGGGGCUAAUACCGGAUAGGAAUCCUUGCUGCAUGGUGGGGGUUGGAAAGCUUCGGCGGUUUUGGAUGGACUCGCGGCUUAUCAGCUUGUUGGUGGGGUAGUGGCUUACCAAGGCUUUGACGGGUAGCCGGCCUGAGAGGGCGACCGGCCACAUUGGGACUGAGAUACGGCCCAGACUCCUACGGGAGGCAGCAGUGGGGAAGAUUGCACAAUGGGCGGAAGCCUGAUGCAGCAACGCCGCGUGCGGGAUGACGGCCUUCGGGUUGUAAACCGCUUUCAGCAGGGGCGAAGCUUGUGGUGACGGUACCUGCAGAAGAAGCACCGGCUAACUACGUG